GGGCGGUUAGCUCAGUUGGUAGAGCGUCUCGUUUACACCGAGAAUGUCGGCGGUUCGAUCCCGUCACCGCCCACCA
This 76-nucleotide transfer RNA is filed under the name Alphaproteobacteria bacterium. RNAcentral describes it as "tRNA-Val". It matches the Rfam family "tRNA". From Rfam's summary of the family: Transfer RNA (tRNA) molecules are approximately 80 nucleotides in length. Their secondary structure includes four short double-helical elements and three loops (D, anti-codon, and T loops). Lineage: Bacteria; Pseudomonadati; Pseudomonadota; Alphaproteobacteria. The record is from RNAcentral.